Molecule: ribosomal RNA, 253 nt
Filed under: uncultured bacterium
Lineage: Bacteria
Description: partial 16S ribosomal RNA
Rfam family: Bacterial small subunit ribosomal RNA
Source: RNAcentral
UACGAAGGGGGCUAGCGUUGCUCGGAAUCACUGGGCGUAAAGCGCACGUAGGCGGAUCUUUAAGUCAGGGGUGAAAUCCUGGAGCUCAACUCCAGAACUGCCUUUGAUACUGGGGAUCUCGAGUCCGGAAGAGGUGAGUGGAACUCCGAGUGUAGAGGUGAAAUUCGUAGAUAUCGUAAGGAAGACCAGUGGCGAAGGCGGGUCUCUGGACAGUUCCUGACGCUGAAGCACGAAGGCCAGGGGAGCAAACGGG